GUAAGGAAUAUUGGACAAUGGGCGCAAGCCUGAUCCAGCCAUGCCGCGUGAAGGAUGAAGGCCCUAUGGGUUGUAAACUUCUUUUAGCAGGGAAAAAACCCCCCGAUGCGUUGGGGGCUGAUGGUACCUGCAGAAUAAGCAUCGGCUAACUCCGUGCCAGCAGCCGCGGUAAUACGGAGGAUGCAAGCGUUAUCCGGAUUUAUUGGGUUUAAAGGGUGCGUAGGCGGAUGAAUAAGUCAGUGGUGAAAGCCUGCAGCUUAACUGUAGAAUUGCCAUUGAUACUGUUCGUCUUGAGUACAGCUGAGGUGGGCGGAAUAUGACAUGUAGCGGUGAAAUGCUUAGAUAUGUCAUAGAACACCGAUUGCGAAGGCAGCUCACUAAACUGUCACUGACGCUGAGGCACGAAAGCGUGGGGAGCAAACAGGAUUAGAAACCCCGGUAGUCC
Molecule: ribosomal RNA, 445 nt
Filed under: uncultured bacterium
Lineage: Bacteria
Description: bacterial SSU rRNA
Rfam family: Bacterial small subunit ribosomal RNA
Source: RNAcentral